CCUACGGGUGGCAGCAGUGGGGAAUAUUGGACAAUGGGCGAAAGCCUGAUCCAGCCAUGCCGCGUGUGUGAAGAAGGCCUUCGGGUUGUAAAGCACUUUCAGUGGGGAAGAAAGCCUUGGGGCUAAUACCCUCGAGGAAGGACAUCACCCACAGAAGAAGCACCGGCUAACUCCGGUGCCAGCAGCCGCGGUAAUACGGAGGGUGCGAGCGUUAAUCGGAAUUACUGGGCGUAAAGCGCGCGUAGGCGGUCUGAUAAGCCGGUUGUGAAAGCCCCGGGCUCAACCUGGGAACGGCAUCCGGAACUGUCAGGCUAGAGUGCAGGAGAGGAAGGUAGAAUUCCCGGUGUAGCGGUGAAAUGCGUAGAGAUCGGGAGGAAUACCAGUGGCGAAGGCGGCCUUCUGGACUGACACUGACGCUGAGGUGCGAAAGCGUGGGUAGCAAACAGGAUUAGAUACCCCAGUAGUC
Molecule: ribosomal RNA, 466 nt
Filed under: Vreelandella stevensii
Lineage: Bacteria; Pseudomonadati; Pseudomonadota; Gammaproteobacteria; Oceanospirillales; Halomonadaceae
Description: partial 16S ribosomal RNA
Rfam family: Bacterial small subunit ribosomal RNA
Source: RNAcentral